AACGAACGCUGGCGGCGCGUCUUAAACAUGCAAGUCGAACGGCAGGAAGGGGCUUGCCCCUUCUGAGAGUGGCGGACUGGUGAGUAACACGUGGGUGACAUACCUUUUAGUUGGGGAUAGCUAUUAGAAAUAGUAGGUAAUACCGAAUGUGACCGUACCUGUUAGAGGGGUACGAGGAAAGGAGCUAAGGCUUCGCUAAAAGAAUUGCCCGCGGCCCAUUAUGCUCGUUGGUGGGGUAACGGCCCACCAAGGCGAUGAUGGGUAUCCGGCCUGAGAGGGUGAACGGACACAUUGGGACUGAGAUACGGCCCAGACUUCUACGGGAGGCAGCAGUUAAGAAUAUUCCGCAAUGGACGAAAGUCUGACGGAGCGACGCCGCGUGGAUGAAGAAUGCCGAAAGGUUGUAAAAUCCUUUUAAGCCUGAUGAAUAAGAACAGUAGGGAAUGAUUGUGUGGUGACCGUAGGCCUUGAAUAAGCACCGGCUAAUUUCGUG
RNAcentral lists this ribosomal RNA (493 nucleotides) under uncultured bacterium. RNAcentral's name for it is "partial 16S ribosomal RNA". It matches the Rfam family "Bacterial small subunit ribosomal RNA", at positions 29 to 507 of the family's 1533-position model. The record is from RNAcentral.